CAAUAGCGUAUAUUAAAGUUGUUGCAGUUAAAAAGCUCGUAGUUGGAUUUCUGGUAGGAGUGACCGUUCCGAACUUGAUUGUUCGUGUAUUGUGUUUCUCCAGCCAUCCUUGUGGAGAACUUUUCUUGCAUUAAUUUGUAGGGAUUGGGACCCGCAUCGUUUACUGUGAAAAAAUUAGAGUGUUUAAAGCAGGCAAUCGCUUGAAUACAUUAGCAUGGAAUAAUAAGAUAGGACUUUGGUACUAUUUUGUUGGUUUGCAUACCAAAUUAAUGAUCAACAGGAACAGUUUGAGGAUAUUCGUAUGAACAUGUCAGAGGUGAAAUUCUUGGAUUUUGAUCAGACGAACUACUGCGAAAGCAUUUAUCAAGGAUGUUUUCAUUAA
Molecule: ribosomal RNA, 382 nt
Filed under: uncultured eukaryote
Lineage: Eukaryota
Description: partial 18S ribosomal RNA
Rfam family: Eukaryotic small subunit ribosomal RNA
Source: RNAcentral